CUGGAGGUAUCAGAAGUGCGAAUGCUGACAUAAGUAACGAUAAAGCGGGUGAAAAGCCCGCUCGCCGGAAGACCAAGGGUUCCUGUCCAACGUUAAUCGGGGCAGGGUGAGUCGACCCCUAAGGCGAGGCCGAAAGGCGUAGUCGAUGGGAAACAGGUUAAUAUUCCUGUACUUGGUGUUACUGCGAAGGGGGGACGGAGAAGGCUAUGUUGGCCGGGCGACGGUUGUCCCGGUUUAAGCGUGUAGGCUGGUUUUCCAGGCAAAUCCGGAAAAUCAAGGCUGAGGCGUGAUGACGAGGCACUACGGUGCUGAAGCAACAAAUGCCCUGCUUCCAGGAAAAGCCUCUAAGCAUCAGGUAACAUCAAAUCGUACCCCAAACCGACACAGGUGGUCAGGUAGAGAAUACCAAGGCGCUUGAGAGAACUCGGGUGAAGGAACUAGGCAAAAUGGUGCCGUAACUUCGGGAGAAGGCACGCUGAUAUGUAGGUGAAGUCCCUCGCGGAUGGAGCUGAAAUCAGU
Molecule: ribosomal RNA, 519 nt
Filed under: Escherichia coli
Lineage: Bacteria; Pseudomonadati; Pseudomonadota; Gammaproteobacteria; Enterobacterales; Enterobacteriaceae
Description: partial 23S ribosomal RNA
Rfam family: Bacterial large subunit ribosomal RNA
Source: RNAcentral